Molecule: long non-coding RNA, 3011 nt
Filed under: Sus scrofa (pig)
Lineage: Eukaryota; Metazoa; Chordata; Mammalia; Artiodactyla; Suidae
Description: lncRNA (ENSSSCG00055026137.1)
Source: RNAcentral
CCAGACAUUCUCUGACGUAAACCACAGCAAUAUUUUCUCAGAUCCACCUAGAGUAAUGACAAUGGGAUAGAUUGGGAGCUUGGGGUUAAUAGAUGCAGACUAUUGCCUUUGAAAUGAUUGGCAAUGAGACCCUUCUAUGUAGCACUGGGAACUAUGUCUAGUCACUUAUGUUGGAGCAUGAUAAUGUGAGAAAAAAUAAUGUAUGCAUGCAUGUGUAACUGGGUCACCAUGCUGUACAGUAGAAAAAAAAUGAUGUAUUGGGGAAAUAAAAAAAUAAAAAUAAAAUAAAAAAACAAAAAUAAACAAAAGGGGCAUAAUUAAAAGUUUUUGCAUAAAAAAGGAAAGCAUAAACAAGACAAAAAGACAACCCACAGAAUGAGAGAAAAUAUUUGCAAAUGAAGCAACUGGCAAGGGAUUAAUCACCAAAAUAUAUAAACAUAUCCUGCAGCUCAGUAUAAAAAACAAAAACGAAAAAAAUAUAUAAACAGCCCCAUCAAAAAAUGGGCAGAAAAUCUAAACAGACAUUUCUCCAAAGAAGGCAUACAAAUGGCCAAAAAACACAUAAAAAGAGUCUCAACAUCACUAAUUAUUUGAGAAAUGCCAAUCAAAACUACUGCAAAGUACCACCUAACACCAGCCAGAAUGACCAUCAUCAAAAAGUCUACAAACAAUAAAUACUAGAGAGGGUGUGGAGGAAAGGGAACCCUCUUACACUGUUGGUGGGAAUGUAAAUCAGUGCAACCACUAUGGAAAACAGUAUGGAGAUUCCUUGGAAUACUAAAAAUAGAAUUACCGUAUGAUCCUAUAAUCUAACUCCUGGGCAUCUAUCUAGAAAAAAGCAUAACUGAAAAAUAUACAUGUACCCCAGUGUUCAUUGUAGUACUAUAUAUACAAUAGCCAAGACAUGUGCACAACCUAAAUGUUCAUCAACAGAGGAGUGGAUAAAGAUGUGAUGCAUAUAGAUAAUGGAAUAUUACUCAGCCUUAAAAAAGAAUGAAAUGUCAUUUGCAGCAACAUGGAUGGACCUAGAAAUUAUCAUGCUAAGUAAAGUUAGUCAGACAGUGAGAGACAAAUAUAUGCUAUCAUUUAUAUGUGGAAUCUUUAAAAAGGAUACAAUGAACUUCUUUGCAGAACAGAAAUACACGGGUAUUGAAAAGUUUACAGUUGCUAAAAGGGACAGAUUUGGGGGAAGGGAUGGAUUGGGGGUUUGGGAUGGAAUUGUUCUAAAAUUAGAUGGUGAUGAUGGUUGUAUAACUGUAAAUAUGAUAAAAUUCAUUGAAGUUUUGAAAAUGAAGGGAUCAUAUUGCUUUAAACAAGUUAAGGCAGUAGGAAAGCAAAGGAGAAUUUUUAUUUUUUUUUAAUGGCUGCACCCAUGGCAUAUGGAAGUUCCUGGGUCAGGAAUUGAAUCUUUGCUGCAGCUGCAACCUAUGCUGAAGCUGCAAAAAUGCUGAUCCAUUAACCCACUGGAAUGGCCUAAGGAUCGAACCCAUACCUCUGCAGAAAUCUGAGCCACUGCAGUAGGAUUCUUAACCCACUUCACCAAAGAAGAAAUUCCUCAGAGGAAAAUUUGAAUGCUUAAGGUAUAAGUUGAACAUAUUUGACCUGAUAUAAGGGAGAGAGAAUACUUAAUUCAAAUCCACAAAUUUGGUAGUUCCCAUUGUGGCUCCAUGGGUUAAGAACCCAACUAGUAUCUGAGGAUGUGGGUUCAAUCCCUGGCCUUGCUCACUGGGUUAAGGGAUCCAGCACUGCUGAGAGCUGUGGUGUAUUUCACAUAUGUGGCUUGGAUCUGGCAUGGCUGUGAUGUAGGUUUGCAGGUGCAGCUCGGAUUCAGCUCUUAGCCUGGGAACAUCCACAUGCCAUAGGUACAACGUAAAAAGAAGAAAAAAAUUUUAAAAAAUUCCCCCAGUUUUCUGAACUCUGCAAGGUUAACUCUUUUGGAAAAAACUGUUAACACAUCGGGUUUUGAAAUUUCAAAAAAUAUUUACCUUGGAAGAACAAUUCAGAUACUGUUUUCUCUUCUAAAAAAAUAAGAUAGUUGAUUCAGAAUAAUAGCUUAAAGUCUUUUCCAGUUCUAUAUUUAUCUAAAUCAGAGUUACCUAAAACUUAAAUUUUAAAAUCCUGUGUCAUCCAAAAUACUUUUUUCCCAGUGCGUUUAAAGGUAAGAAGGAUGUAUAAAACAUGUCUUGGAGUUCCCUUCAUGGCACAGCAGGAACAAAUCUGAUUAGGAACCACGAGGUUGCGGGUUUGAUCUCUGGCCUUUCUCAGUGGGUUAAGGAUUCAGCAUUGCCAUGAGCUGUGGUGUAGGUAACCAGAGGUGGCUUGGAACCUACAUUGCUGUGGCUGUGGCCUAGGCCAGUAGCCGUAACUCUGAUUAGACCCCUAGCCUGGGAACUUCCAUAUGCCGCAAGUGUGGUCCUAAAAAGACCAAAAAAUAAAUAAAUAAAUAAAAAUAAAACAUGUCUCACAUGCUGUGUAAGUCUGUGGGAAUGACUUAACUAGUUUAAUUUUUUUCCCUAAAACAUUGUAAAUUGACAAAUCACUUAAAAGUAUCAUUACAAUUAAUUAUAAAAUAAUUUUAAUGAAUUCAGAAGAAGUGAAUGUCUUUGCACAAUAUCCUUGAAAUUGCUGUAGUUUUUGGAAAGCCUGCUCAAAAUAGUUUGAACACAUUUAGCAAAAGAUAGAAAAGAAAUAGGAUUUUACGUUUGAGACCUCUUAACUAUCCCCAGAACAAGAGAUUUUCACAGAGUCAAACAUUUGGAGAUAAUUCUACAAAUAGGACAUUUUAUCUGAUUAAGCUGAUUAACUCUCAGUGAAGCCCACGAAUUGACAAAGUCCUACCCACACACUUUCUUUUGGUGCUUCAUUCUUAAUAUGAGUGAAUAUCCAACAGUUCACCCCAGUAAUUGUCCAGGAAAACCUCCAACACGAAAAACAUACUAAACCUAAAUAAAUGGUAUAAUGGGAUCCAGAGGAAACUAACAAUGAAGAGGUAGCCAGACAAUUAAAAUACG